This 254-nucleotide ribosomal RNA is filed under the name uncultured bacterium. Its description in RNAcentral is "partial 16S ribosomal RNA". It matches the Rfam family "Bacterial small subunit ribosomal RNA", at positions 524 to 776 of the family's 1533-position model. The record is from RNAcentral.
GACGAACCGUGCGAACGUUAUUCGGAAUCAUUGGGCUUAAAGCGCGUGUAGGCGGAUUCGUGCGUCUGUUGUUGAAAUCCCCCGGCUCAACCGGGGAAGUGGCGCGGAUACGACGAGUCUGGAGGGGCAUAGGGGGACCUGGAACUUCCGGUGGAGCGGUGAAAUGCGUUGAGAUCGGAAGGAACGCCCGUGGCGAAAGCGAGGUCCUGGAUGCCUACUGACGCUGAGACGCGAAAGCCAGGGGAGCGAACGGG